This is a ribosomal RNA of 515 nucleotides. The stretch from base 383 to 515 matches the Rfam family "Bacterial large subunit ribosomal RNA", at positions 2473 to 2605 of the family's 2925-position model.
UUUUGAAAAUAAUAAAAAGUCUAAUCUGCCCACUGAAUUUAUUUAAAGGGCUGCAGUAUAUUGACUGUACAAAGGUAGCAUAAUCAAUAGUCUUUUAAUUGAAGACUUGUAUGAAUGAUUUGAUGAAAUAUGAACUGUCUCUUUUUUAAAAAUAAAAUUUAAUUUUUUAGUUAAAAAGCUAAAAUAAUUAUAAAAGACGAGAAGACCCUAUAGAGUUUUAUAGUUAUUUAAUUUAAAAAUUUUAUAUAUAAUUUAAAUUUAAAAUUAAUUAAUUAUUUUAUUGGGGUGAUAGAAAAAUUAAAAAAACUUUUUUUAAAAAUUUAACAUUAAUUUAUGAAAUUAUGAUCCAUAAUUUAUGAUUAAAAGAAUCAAUUACCUUAGGGAUAACAGCGUAAUUUUUUUUUUUAGUACAAAUAAGAAAAAGAGUUUGCGACCUCGAUGUUGGAUUAAGAUAAAAUUUAAAUGCAAAAGUUUAAAAUUUUUGAUCUGUUCGAUCAUUAAAAUCUUACAUGAUC